RNAcentral lists this ribosomal RNA (408 nucleotides) under Triticum aestivum (bread wheat). RNAcentral describes it as "partial small subunit ribosomal RNA". Lineage: Eukaryota; Viridiplantae; Streptophyta; Magnoliopsida; Poales; Poaceae. The record is from RNAcentral.
AUGGCGCACCACGUCGAGCACCUGCACUCGGCAGAAGCCGUUGACGAGGCCAUCUUCCGCGAGGCCGAGACCAAGCGCCUGGUAAUCGUCCGUUUCGGCCAGAGCGCGCACGCUGACUGCCUGCGCGUGGACGCCGCCAUGGCCGCCGCUGCCGAGCGCAUCGGCCCCGUAGCUGUGCUCUACGCCGUCGACAUCGACGAGGUACAGGACUUCAACGUCAUGUACGAGCUCCACGUGAGGCCUUGCACCGUCAUGUUCUUCUACGGGAACUCGUGCGUCGACGUACGCGGCCCCUGCUGUAGGGACGACAUCGUGUGGGCCGCGUACGGCGGCGAUGACUUCGCCGGCAUUAUCACGGCGGUGCACGAGAGAGCCAGGGCUGGGCGCCGCCUCGUCGUCCUCGGCUAG